Neotoma lepida (desert woodrat) is the source of this 70-nucleotide microRNA precursor. It matches the Rfam family "mir-344 microRNA precursor family". Lineage: Eukaryota; Metazoa; Chordata; Mammalia; Rodentia; Cricetidae. The record is from Rfam.
UUACCAGUCAGGCUCUGGCCAUAUUCCAGGACAGAAUGGGUCCUGGGUUUGACUAAAGCCUGACUGUACA